RNAcentral lists this ribosomal RNA (465 nucleotides) under Vreelandella stevensii. Its description in RNAcentral is "partial 16S ribosomal RNA". It matches the Rfam family "Bacterial small subunit ribosomal RNA", at positions 338 to 795 of the family's 1533-position model. The record is from RNAcentral. Lineage: Bacteria; Pseudomonadati; Pseudomonadota; Gammaproteobacteria; Oceanospirillales; Halomonadaceae.
CCUACGGGUGGCUGCAGUGGGGAAUAUUGGACAAUGGGCGAAAGCCUGAUCCAGCCAUGCCGCGUGUGUGAAGAAGGCCUUCGGGUUGUAAAGCACUUUCAGUGGGGAAGAAAGCCUUGGGGCUAAUACCCUCGAGGAAGGACAUCACCCACAGAAGAAGCACCGGCUAACUCCGUGCCAGCAGCCGCGGUAAUACGGAGGGUGCGAGCGUUAAUCGGAAUUACUGGGCGUAAAGCGCGCGUAGGCGGUCUGAUAAGCCGGUUGUGAAAGCCCCGGGCUCAACCUGGGAACGGCAUCCGGAACUGUCAGGCUAGAGUGCAGGAGAGGAAGGUAGAAUUCCCGGUGUAGCGGUGAAAUGCGUAGAGAUCGGGAGGAAUACCAGUGGCGAAGGCGGCCUUAUGGACUGACACUGACGCUGAGGUGCGAAAGCGUGGGUAGCAAACAGGAUUAGAUACCCCAGUAGUC